GCAAGUCGAGCGGUAACAGAAAUUAGCUUGCUAAUUUGCUGACGAGCGGCGGACGGGUGAGUAAUGCUUGGGAAUAUGCCUUAUGGUGGGGGACAACAGUUGGAAACGACUGCUAAUACCGCAUAAUGUCUUCGGACCAAAGAGGGGGAUCUUCGGACCUCUCGCGCUAAGAUUAGCCCAGGUGAGAUUAGCUUGUUGGUGAGGUAAUGGCUCACCAAGGCGACGAUCCCUAGCUGGUCUGAGAGGAUGAUC
RNAcentral lists this ribosomal RNA (252 nucleotides) under uncultured bacterium. Its description in RNAcentral is "partial 16S ribosomal RNA". It matches the Rfam family "Bacterial small subunit ribosomal RNA", at positions 57 to 305 of the family's 1533-position model. The record is from RNAcentral.